GACGUAGGGUGCAAGCGUUGUCCGGAUUUAUUGGGCGUAAAGAGCUCGUAGGCGGCUUGUUGCGUCGACUGUGAAAACCCGCGGCUUAACCGCGGGCUUGCAGUUGAUACGGGCAGGCUAGAGUUCGGUAGGGGAGACUGGAAUUCCUGGUGUAGCGGUGAAAUGCGCAGAUAUCAGGAGGAACACCGGUGGCGAAGGCGGGUCUCUGGGCCGAUACUGACGCUGAGGAGCGAAAGCGUGGGGAGCGAGCAGG
This 253-nucleotide ribosomal RNA is filed under the name uncultured bacterium. RNAcentral describes it as "partial 16S ribosomal RNA". It matches the Rfam family "Bacterial small subunit ribosomal RNA", at positions 524 to 776 of the family's 1533-position model. The record is from RNAcentral.